RNAcentral lists this ribosomal RNA (492 nucleotides) under uncultured bacterium. Its description in RNAcentral is "partial 16S ribosomal RNA". It matches the Rfam family "Bacterial small subunit ribosomal RNA", at positions 29 to 507 of the family's 1533-position model. The record is from RNAcentral.
AGUGAACGCUGGCGGUAGGCCUAACACAUGCAAGUCGAACGGCAGCACAGUAAGAGCUUGCUCUUACGGGUGGCGAGUGGCGGACGGGUGAGGAAUACAUCGGAAUCUACUUUUUCGUGGGGGAUAACGUAGGGAAACUUACGCUAAUACCGCAUACGACCUACGGGUGAAAGCAGGGGAUCUUCGGACCUUGCGCGAUUGAAUGAGCCGAUGUCGGAUUAGCUAGUUGGCGGGGUAAAGGCCCACCAAGGCGACGAUCCGUAGCUGGUCUGAGAGGAUGAUCAGCCACACUGGAGCUGAGACACGGUCCAGACUCCUACGGGAGGCAGCAGUGGGGAAUAUUGGACAAUGGGCGCAAGCCUGAUCCAGCCAUACCGCGUGGGUGAAGAAGGCCUUCGGGUUGUAAGGCCCUUUUGUUGGGAAAGAAAAGCAGCAGGUUAAUACCCCGCUGUUCUGACGGUACCCAAAGAAUAAGCACCGGCUAACUUCGUG